CCUACGGGCGGCUGCAGUGGGGAAUUGUUCGCAAUGGACGAAAGUCUGACGACGCAACGCCGCGUGAAGGAUGAAGGUCUUCGGAUUGUAAACUUCUGUUGGGUGGGAAGAACUGUUUCCGGAUCAAUACCCCGGGAAUUUGACGGUACCACCUGAGGAAGCCCCGGCUAACUCUGUGCCAGCAGCCGCGGUAAUACAGAGGGGGCAAGCGUUGUUCGGAAUUACUGGGCGUAAAGGGCGCGUAGGCGGCCUAUUAAGUCAGACGUGAAAUCCCU
Molecule: ribosomal RNA, 275 nt
Filed under: uncultured bacterium
Lineage: Bacteria
Description: partial 16S ribosomal RNA
Rfam family: Bacterial small subunit ribosomal RNA
Source: RNAcentral